RNAcentral lists this ribosomal RNA (459 nucleotides) under uncultured bacterium. RNAcentral's name for it is "partial 16S ribosomal RNA". It matches the Rfam family "Bacterial small subunit ribosomal RNA", at positions 338 to 795 of the family's 1533-position model. The record is from RNAcentral.
CCUACGGGAGGCAGCAGUGAGGAAUAUUGGUCAAUGGCCGGAAGGCUGAACCAGCCAAGCCGCGUGAAGGACGAAGGUGCCAAGCAUUGUAAACUUCUUUUGUCAAGGGACAAAAUCAGGCUCGAGAGCCUGACCGAGGGUACUUUACGAAAAAGCAUCGGCUAACUCCGUGCCAGCCGCCGCGGUAAUACGGAGGAGGCGAGCGUUAUCCGGAUUUAUUGGGUUUAGAGGGUGCGUAGGCGGGCUGUUAAGUCCGCGGUAAAAGCCCGGGGCCCAACCCCUGAGAGCCGUUGAAACUGGCUGUCUUGAGAUGUCGAGAGGUAUGCGGAAUGCGCAGUGUAGCGGUGAAAUGCUUAGAUAUUGCGAAGAACUCCGAUUGCGAAGGCAGCAUACCGGCGGCGAUCUGACGCUGAGGCACGAAAGCGUGGGUAUCGAACAGGAUUAGAUACCCUUGUAGUC